This 352-nucleotide unclassified non-coding RNA is filed under the name soil metagenome. RNAcentral's name for it is "partial contains 5.8S ribosomal RNA, internal transcribed spacer 2, and large subunit ribosomal RNA". The stretch from base 1 to 120 matches the Rfam family "5.8S ribosomal RNA", at positions 35 to 154 of the family's 154-position model. The record is from RNAcentral.
GAUGAAGAACGUAGCGAAAUGCGAUAAGUAAUGUGAAUUGCAGAAUUCAGUGAAUCAUCGAAUCUUUGAACGCACAUUGCGCCCGCCAGUAUUCUGGCGGGCAUGCCUGUUCGAGCGUCAUUUCAACCCUCAGGCCCCCAGUGCCUGGUGUUGGGGAUCGGCCCAGCCUUCCUGUAAGGCCGCCGGCCCCGAAAUCUAGUGGCGGUCUCGCUGUAGUCCUCCUCUGCGUAGUAGCACAACCUCGCAGUUGGAACGCGGCGGUGGCCAUGCCGUUAAACACCCCACUUCUGAAAGUUGACCUCGGAUCAGGUAGGAAUACCCGCUGAACUUAAGCAUAUCAAUCAGCGGAGGA